Molecule: ribosomal RNA, 419 nt
Filed under: uncultured bacterium
Lineage: Bacteria
Description: bacterial SSU rRNA
Rfam family: Bacterial small subunit ribosomal RNA
Source: RNAcentral
GGAAUAUUGGUCAAUGGCCGGAAGGCUGAACCAGCCACGCCGCGUGAAGGAAGAAGGCCCUAUGCGUCGUAAACUUCUUUUGAUGUGGAGCAAUAAGGGCCACGUGUGGUCCGAUGAGAGUACACGUCGAAUAAGCAUCGGCUAACUCCGUGCCAGCAGCCGCGGUAAUACGGAGGAUGCGAGCGUUAUCCGGAUUUAUUGGGUUUAAAGGGUGCGUAGGCGGUCGGGUAAGCGUAGGGUGAAAGUCCUCUGCUCAACAGGGGAAGUGCCUUCCGAACUGUCCGACUUGAAUUCUCCUGCCGUGGGAGGAAUGUGUGGUGUAGCGGUGAAAUGCAUAGAGAUCACACAGAACACCGAUUGCGAAGGCAUCUCACGAAGGGGCGAUUGACGCUGAGGCACGAAAGCGUGGGGAUCAAACA